UGUUAGGAACUUCUGGCAGGGUUGGUCCUGAGCAAGACUGUAAAGCAGCUCAGUUGAAACUUCAGUGUCUUUUUCUGCUCUCACCUUUCCCAUUUGGAGGCGACUCCCCUCAGCUGCUUUCCUUUCUCUGUCCUCUGCACCUGCCUUGCUGCCCCUAGAGCUCCAGAACUUUCAGAAAUUUUCUGCCUACUCCCUGGCAAAAUCUAUUUUUUCUAAAAAUUGUCCCCAGGGCCAAGAUGCCCAAAGUGACUCUGAUUAGCAAAGUCAUGAUCUGGGGAUAAAAACAAUGACUUUUCAUUCCUCUUCCCAAAUAAAAACUACCUUUGACCACAGAGGUCAAAGGGCCCUUACUGAGUCCCAUGUGGAGGUCACAGGCAGUGGGGUGAUAGUUUCAGUAGUGCUUACAAAACUCCACAGAAUCCUCUUUCGCCCAUCAGAUCUCAUAGCUGUACCCAGUUUAGCUCAGGCCUGAGGAUGCAUAAUAAUUCAGAGCUCUGAUGGCAGGUGGCUUCCAUCUCAGGACUGCCUGGAAGCUUGCUGAGAAGGAACUUGAGACCAUUGUCACACACAGGGAGAAAAGCACUGGAAUGGACUAGAAGUCUGCCUGGGGAAACAUGUGGCAUGCACUUACAGAGUGUUACAUGUCUGUCAUCCUUGAGGAGUCAUUGUGGACUCUCAAGGGUCCAUGAUAGGCAUCCACUUGCCUCUCUAGCCUGAAGAAUGUCAUCUGCAGCCUUGCUCCUCAAAGUGGGAACCUUGCUUUUCAAAGCAGGGUCUUCAGAACAGCAGCAUCAGCAUCACACCGGAGCUCAUUAAAAAUACAGACUCUCAGCCCCACCCCUUUCCCCCACACUACCCAAUCAGAUUCUGCAUUUUAACAAGAUUCCCAGGGGAUUUGUAUGCACAUAAACAAUGGAGACGGCUAGGAGAGGUGGCGCAUGUCUGUAAUCCCAGCACUUUGGGAGGCCGAGGUAGGAGAAGCUUGAGCCCAGGAGUUCGAGACCAGCUUGGGCAACAUAAUGAGACCUUGUCUGUACAGAAAAAAAAAAAAAAAAAAAAAAAAUGCCCUGUGUGGUGGGGAGUACCUCUAGUCCCAGCUGCUGCUCAGGAGGCUGAGGUGGGAGGAUUGCUUGAGCCUGUGAAAUGGAGCCUGCAGUGAGCCGUAAGCAUGCCACUACACUCCAGCCUGGGUGACAGAAUGAGACCCUGUCUCAAAAAACAAUCAAAAAACAUUGGAGACACAGGGGUCUACUGGGUCUUCCUGCUGGUUGUCCCUCCUGAAGGUCCUCACUGGAGAACAAGCUUUGUGGGCCCGGCUUCUUCUACCUGCGCCUCCACAUCUUAUACCAAUCAAUAGGGGUAGGACUAGGUCCAAUGCGGAUGGGGACAUUCCCUUCAGCCCGCAUUUGGGAGGUUUAAUGAUAGGUCUAUUGUGUGCCAUACUGUUUUUCUGUCUUACCACCAUGUCGCUUCUGUCCCCAGGCAAUCUAUAAGAUGGUUUCCUCCGUAAUGAAAAUGCCUGAAGAUGAGUCAACCCCAGAGAAAAGAACAGAAAAGAUCUUCCGCCAGAUGGACACCAAUAGAGACGGAAAACUCUCCCUGGAAGAGUUCAUCCGAGGAGCCAAAAGCGACCCAUCCAUUGUGCGCCUCCUGCAGUGCGACCCGAGCAGUGCCGGCCAGUUCUGAGCCCUGCGCCCACCAAUCGAAUUGUAGAGCUGCUUGUGUUCCCUUUUGAUUCUUCUUUUUAACAAUUUUUUUUUUUUUUGCCAAACAAUAUCAAUGGUGAUGCUGUCCCCUGUGCGGUCUGAUGCGCCUUCCUCCGUGACGCCUUCAGCUUCUUUUGUCAUGGAUGCUUCGUGGGAAUGCCCAGAGCCCCAGUGUGCUUGUGGAGAGCAUGGACAGACUUCGUGGUGUUCAUUGUUUGAUGAUUUUUAAUCGUUACUAUUUUUUUUUUAUUCUAAUGUCUCUGUUCUAAAACGUAAGACUCGGGGGUUGGGGCAAAAGAAGGGAAACCCAUCCAGUCCUGUGAUUCUAUUGCAAGCUUCAAGGGGCUUUUGUUUGAAAGACAAAACUCCCCACCUGGGUCUGUUGUCACACGUGCAGUAGGGGUGAUGGAUGGCACCGGAUGCUGGAUUCCCCAAGAACAAGUUACCCUCUGGGGUGAGGCUAUUCCAGCGAGCUGGGACAUUUCCCCAUGGGGGCCCACUCCCCUCUCUUCCCCAGCAGGCUGUAGUUUCUAAGCUGUGAACAUUUCAAGAUAAAUUAACAGAGGAGAGGAAAAAGAUGGCUCAGCUAUUUUUUCACAGGUUUACACUAGUUGAGCUAAUAUGCGUGUCUUUGGAAAUUAAACACAAAUGAUAACAUAUUCCAAAACCAGACCCAUCUUGUUGCCUAUUGUGAUAAAAUAAAAAGACGGCUGUAUAUAACAUAUUGGGUAAUGCAGACCAAAUUAAGUGUUUUGCCUUGUUUAAAUGAAAUGCAUGUUUAGUGAGCACUAAUACAAUCUUAUUCCAG
Molecule: small RNA, 2514 nt
Filed under: Pan troglodytes (chimpanzee)
Lineage: Eukaryota; Metazoa; Chordata; Mammalia; Primates; Hominidae
Description: retained intron
Source: RNAcentral